Molecule: ribosomal RNA, 253 nt
Filed under: uncultured bacterium
Lineage: Bacteria
Description: partial 16S ribosomal RNA
Rfam family: Bacterial small subunit ribosomal RNA
Source: RNAcentral
UACGAAGGGGGCUAGCGUUGUUCGGAAGUACUGGGCGUAAAGCGCGCGCAGGCGGCUAUCCAAGUCAGUGGCGAAAGCCCGGAGCUCAACUCCGGAACUGCCAUUGAAACUGUUUAGCUUGAGGACGAGAGAGGUGAGUGGAAUUCCCAGUGUAGAGGUGAAAUUCGUAGAUAUUGGGAAGAACACCGGUGGCGAAGGCGGCUCACUGGCUCGUAUCUGACGCUCAGGCGCGACAGCGUGGGGAUCAAACAGG